RNA transcript from Hibiscus syriacus, 976 nucleotides. RefSeq lists it as uncharacterized. Lineage: Eukaryota; Viridiplantae; Streptophyta; Magnoliopsida; Malvales; Malvaceae. The transcript is spliced from 6 exons. The record is from RefSeq and is a predicted model, not a curated record.
ACAAAUGACGCAGAGAAAAAUCCAGCUUAAAACAUGGAAACUUCCAACCAUGAACGACCCAGUUUAACCCCCCCCCCCCCAAACUCCACUCCACGUAAACAAGUUCCACGAGUCAACUCACCGUCCAUUUAUUGGCACCCACCGCAGUUUUUUCAAACUCUUCCAGUUUCCUCCAAAACUCACAAUCUCUUGAAACUUCCACCCAUGGCUUCUCUGAACUCCCUUGCCUUCCUCACAAUCUUCCUUGCUCUGCAUCUCAAGAUUGCUAAACCCGACUUUUAUCCCCCCUUUUGCCACCCAUCUUCGAUGAUGUAUGUAAAGAAGUGGAAUGUGGAAAAGGAAAAUGCAAGCCUUCUUCAAAUGGAACACUCCCUUAUUAUACCUGUGAAUGUGAUGUUGGCUGGAAACAAACUGCUGCUGCGGUCGAUGAUGAUGAUCAUCAUCCCAAGUUUCUCCCUUGCAUUUUCCCAAACUGUACGUUGAAUACUGCUUGUGCAGCUGCUCCUUCCCCUGUGCAAGAAAAGGCAGCCAAAUCAAACCAAUCUAUCUUGACAUCUGCAGGUGGACUAAUUGCGGAGGAGGAUCGUGUGACAAGAAGUCUCUGUUACGUACGAUUGCAGAUGCUCAGAGGGUUAUUUAAUCUUCUUAAUGUCUCUUCCUUCCCAUGCUACAGAGAAUGUGCAUCGGAAUGGACUGUGCAAACCUUGAGAUCUCAAUGUCAAAUAGGUCUAGUUCCGUAACACCGACAUCAUCUCGAAAUGAUGUUAAUCGAGCAGACUCGAAGCUGUUCAGAAAUUGUCGUUGGCUGAUAAUGUCGACGGUGUUGCUCGCGAUGGUUGUUGAUGUUGUGUAUAUAAAGCUGAUGCUCGGGUUCGAGUUCCACGAUCCGGAUAGCGAUUCUAGCAUCAAGCAUAGCCGUAUUCUUCUGUUGUUCUAUGGAAAAUGUAGCUUAGAUGUAUGUUGUAACUAUUUUCUC